This 460-nucleotide ribosomal RNA is filed under the name uncultured bacterium. RNAcentral describes it as "partial 16S ribosomal RNA". It matches the Rfam family "Bacterial small subunit ribosomal RNA", at positions 338 to 795 of the family's 1533-position model. The record is from RNAcentral.
CCUACGGGUCGCAGCAGUGAGGAAUCUUGGUCAAUGGACGAGAGUCUGAACCAGCCAAGUAGCGUGAAGGAUGACUGCCCUAUGGGUUGUAAACUUCUUUUUUAUGGGAGUAAAAUGUUCCACGUGUGGGAUUUUGUAUGUACCCUAUGAAUAAGGAUCGGCUAACUCCGUGCCAGCAGCCGCGGUAAUCCGGUGGCGCCGAGCGUUAUCCGGAUUUAUUGGGUUUAAAGGGAGCGUAGGUGGAUUGUUAAGUCAGUUGUGAAAGUUUGCGGCUAAACCGGAAAAUUGCAGUUGAAACGGGCAGUCUUGAGUACAGUAGAGGUGGGUGGAAUUCGUGGUGUAGCGGUGAAAUGCUGAGAUAUCACGAAGAACACCGAUUGCGAAGGCAGUUCACUGGACUGUAACUGACACUGAGGCUCGAAAGUGUGGGUAUCGAACAGGAUUAGAUACCCUGGUAGUC